RNAcentral lists this ribosomal RNA (300 nucleotides) under uncultured Thermococcus sp. Its description in RNAcentral is "bacterial SSU rRNA". The stretch from base 52 to 300 matches the Rfam family "Bacterial small subunit ribosomal RNA", at positions 547 to 795 of the family's 1533-position model. The record is from RNAcentral. Lineage: Archaea; Methanobacteriati; Methanobacteriota; Thermococci; Thermococcales; Thermococcaceae.
GAUAAGUAGUGGCCAGGGGCCGGUGAGAUACGAAGGGGCCAAGUGGUUAUCGGAAUGUCGGGGGUUGAGUGGGUCGCAGGCGGUUGGGCAAGACCGGUGUGAAAUCCCCGAGAUGAACGUGGGAAAUGCACUGGGGACUGCAAGGGUAGAGUGUGUCAGAGGGGUGUAGAAUUCCACGUGUAGCAGGGAAAUGCGUAGAGAUGUGGAGGAAUACCGAUGGCGAAGGCAGCCCCCUGGGAUAACACUGACGCUCAUGCACGAAAGCGUGGGGAGCAAACAGGAUUAGAUACCCGGGUAGUC